This 496-nucleotide ribosomal RNA is filed under the name uncultured bacterium. Its description in RNAcentral is "partial 16S ribosomal RNA". It matches the Rfam family "Bacterial small subunit ribosomal RNA", at positions 29 to 507 of the family's 1533-position model. The record is from RNAcentral.
AUGAACGCUGGCGGCUUGCCUAAUCCAUGCAAGUCGAGCGAACAGACGAGGAGCUUGCUCCUCUAACGUUAGCGGCGGACGGGUGAGUAACACGUGGAUAACCUACCUAUAAGACUGGGAUAACUUCGGGAAACCGGAGCUAAUACCGGAUAAUAUAUUGAACCGCAUGGUUCAAUAGUGAAAGACGGUUUUGCUGUCACUUAUAGAUGGAUCCGCGCCGCAUUAGCUAGUUGGUAAGGUAACAGCUUACCAAGGCAACGAUGCGUAGCCGACCUGAGAGGGUGAUCGGCCACACUGGAACUGAGACACGGUCCAGACUCCUACGGGAGGCAGCAGUAGGGAAUCUUCCGCAAUGGGCGAAAGCCUGACGGAGCAACGCCGCGUGAGUGAUGAAGGUCUUCGGAUCGUAAAACUCUGUUAUUAGGGAAGAACAAAUGUGUAAGUAACUAUGCACGUCUUGACGGUACCUAAUCAGAAAGCCACGGCUAACUACGUG